RNAcentral lists this transfer RNA (58 nucleotides) under Salmo salar (Atlantic salmon). It matches the Rfam family "tRNA", at positions 8 to 63 of the family's 71-position model. From Rfam's summary of the family: Transfer RNA (tRNA) molecules are approximately 80 nucleotides in length. Their secondary structure includes four short double-helical elements and three loops (D, anti-codon, and T loops). Lineage: Eukaryota; Metazoa; Chordata; Actinopteri; Salmoniformes; Salmonidae. The record is from Rfam by way of RNAcentral.
UGGCUCAGUAGGUAGAGCAUGGUGUUUGCAACGCCAGGGUUGUGGGUUUGAUUCCCAU